CUUCCUACUGUUGGUGUGGGUGUUGUUUUUUGUGUUUGUUGUUUUGUUGUUUUGUUGUGUGUUGUGUGUUUGUGUGUUUGUUGUUUUGUUGUGUGUUUUGUUGUAUGCCAGUGCUUAUACGGUUACAUACAUGUACUACACACUGUACCAUCUCCUCACAGCUCUUACUUAGCACACCAUACUUUACCAUUGCAUAUACUCUUAUUACACUAUCGUAGUACUCCAUUAUGCUAUGCAUGCUAUCCACGUAAUGCACGUAGCUACACAUACAUGUACGUACUUAGUGUAUGCUCACCUACUUGUCCUGAUACAUUGUCUUGCUGUCAUACAUGCCCUGCUAAGUACAAGCAUCGGAUGCUCCACCAAUUUUUUU
This 373-nucleotide ribosomal RNA is filed under the name Diplonema japonicum. RNAcentral describes it as "partial small subunit ribosomal RNA". Lineage: Eukaryota; Euglenozoa; Diplonemea; Diplonemida; Diplonemidae. The record is from RNAcentral.